UACAGAGGGUGCAAACGUUGUUCGGAAUUACUGGGCGUAAAGCGCGUGUAGGCGGCACUGUAGGUCGGAUGUGAAAUCCCGCGGCUCAACCAUGGAAGUGCAUUCGAAACCGCAGAGCUAGAGUAUCGGAGAGGAAGGUGGAAUGCUUGGUGUAGAGGUGAAAUUCGUAGAUAUCAAGCGGAACACCGGUGGCGAAGGCGGCCUUCUGGACGAUUACUGACGCUGAGACGCGAAAGCGUGGGUAGCAAACAGGAUUAGAAACCCCCGUAGUCC
This 273-nucleotide ribosomal RNA is filed under the name uncultured bacterium. RNAcentral's name for it is "partial 16S ribosomal RNA". It matches the Rfam family "Bacterial small subunit ribosomal RNA", at positions 524 to 796 of the family's 1533-position model. The record is from RNAcentral.